RNAcentral lists this long non-coding RNA (746 nucleotides) under Homo sapiens (human). RNAcentral's name for it is "LIX1L antisense RNA 1". The record is from RNAcentral. Lineage: Eukaryota; Metazoa; Chordata; Mammalia; Primates; Hominidae.
AUCCACCCAAGACCCGGUUCCUCGAUUCCCAUCCUUACGACCGAGGAAAAAAGAGUAAAUUUUCCUAUUAUAGCCUUCUCUCGCACCUUCCCCGCUUCCCACCAGCCGUCUCCACUGUCCUCACCGUCCCCAUCCUCAUCCAUGGCGAAAUCUUCGCCCCCAGCCUCGUGAAGAUCUAGCACGUCCGCCAUCUCGCCUUCGAUCGAGAUCUCGUCUGUGCCGCUCAGACACUAGAUGCUGUUGACUGGGGCAAAGAAUAAUGGGAGAAAAACAGCUGGGUCCUAAAUAACAGAGGGAAACCAACUUUCAAUAAAGUAUUCAACAACUAAUCCACAAAGCAGAUAACUGAACUUGCUGGCCUGCUCUAUAGUGCUGUUGCUUAAAAAGUCAUCUGUGAAGAAAACCAGAGGGAGAAAUUUCACCUGCCAAAGUGGAUAAAGAGAUGGGAAAAGUGAGGCCCAGAGAUUUGCCCCAUUGAUAUUCAGAAGAAUGUAAAUUUGGAUCUCCUAACUCUUAGAUGAGUACUGUUUCCAGCAUACAUAGUCCCUCCGAUUUGACCUCUUAGAGAACUCCAACAUUGCUUUCUUUAGUAAUUGCCUACGAAAAAGUACUGGAGGCAAGGAAUAUUGUUCUAUAUCCUCAAUAAGAGAUGGAAGAAAGUUGGAAUGCAAUAACUGAAGCCAGAUUGGAACAUGGGUUGGAUGCUGGACUGUGCUUGCAGCAAGAAAUAUUGAGGGAUGAGGUAC